UAAAGGAAGAUCAUUAAGACCUCUGUCUGCAGACUCUUAAUAUCAGCAAGCCCUUUUGAUAAAGAAUUUAUCUACGACAGUAACACAUGGAGUUCAAAGCUUCACACACCUGGAAACAGCAGCAGGGUUAUGUCACUGCUGCAGGUUUGUGAUGAAGUGGAGCGAAAACAUCCAGCUUUGGGAAAGAAGUGACAAAGAUUUGACUGCGUCUGCAAAAAGUGCUUCACUUGCCUCCAGAGAAAUCUCUGCCAUACCAGCUGUACCUGGAGGCCAGAGAGGAGGCUCUCGUUGAAGAGUUACCAGGAGUUAACAGGUAUUGACUCUUUAUAUUUCUCCCAUACGUCUAUAAGGAGAACAUGAACCUUUUUAUCCCUCUUGGAGACUCUGAUGCAGACAUGUGGUGUUUAACUGAACCAAACACACACAACAAAGUUAGCAAGUUAACUUUUCUUAUUGAUUGUAUGACUGAAAUUAUGUAAUUAAAACAGAAAUAGUUGAAAGGAGACAUAAACUUUUUAUUAUUUAAUUACAUUUGGCUACACACUAAAUAGUUUAUUUACUUUACAAAGAAUUAAAAAAUGAGCUCUAAUGUGGUUCGUUGUGUUUGUUCCGUGUGAUUGUAGCGUGACCUUCCAUCUCCACACACAACUAUUCUCCUGACUGGUCAAGACUGGAAAAUGUCCUUCUUCACCAAAAGAGCUCCAAACGUUGUGAAAGCAGACGAUGUUGAGGAAGGGAUUAUCUCUGCCUUCUGCACUGACUUUGUCUUCAAGCUGGCAAACCCGAGACACCUGAAGACACACUGACGUUCCUCCAGAGGUGCAUGGUGGUGACCAACCUCUGCCAAGAACUGUUAACAGGACCAUAAAUCUUCUUUAUUCACUCCAUUAUGCCGCAUACCUAGCAGUGCUUCUAAUGCUCCAGGAGAGAAUCUACCUUAAAUGAAUUCAGCACAAAGGACUUUAUAGAAUUUAUUAUUAUUGUUUUAUGGUAUAAAGUUAGAGGAAGAAAAACUGUAGAACAGAUGAUGAUGUUUGUUGUGAUUUCAUCUUUCAUUCUGUUGCAUGUUUGUGUGUGAAUGACGCCUAACAAAGCUUCUUUAUUUUCAUCACUGGCUGAAAUAAAUUAAACUAAUGACAAUGAAACCACCAAUAGAUGGAGGCCUGAGAAACGUAGGAAAGACCAGAACUGUUAGUUCCACAUGUGUCUGAUCAUCCAGUGUGUAACAGCAACGAGCAACGCAAAGCAACAUGUUUAGUUUUUUCUAGAAGUUUCUUUGUAACAUGCUCCAUCAUACAAGUACAACAUGCAUGUAAGCUGAGCCCCGUCCAGACUGUGAAGUAUAAGUGUAAGAACAGUAGAACACACACACUUUCUGCUGCUGUUUUCAUGGUGUUCAGUGUGUCUUUCUGCAGGUGCUCCUGAUGAUUGUCUGCUGUGUUUUCAUAUAGAGGCCGUAGGAUGUUUUCUGUUUCUCUACCGGUGUUGCAGCUGGUUGUUCUAUUGUUUCUGUUGUUUCUAUCUUUGUCCUCUCUCCACUUUUUACUCUCCUUUUCUCUUCUGUUUAAUUCAAUCCAGCUUUAUUUGUACAGCAGCUCUUUACAACAAAGUCCUCUCAGGGCUCCUUUCUUUCAUAUCCUGUGUCAGGUCCAGCUUUUAAAUCUUUAUUCAGCAAAAAACUACUAAAAGAAAUGAAUAAUACUGAAGUAUCAGAGGAGCCUUAUAUGUCGUGGUCAUAGGUGAUGUUCUUGGUUUUGUCGUGUUUACUUUAGUUUCCAGUUUUGUUGGUUCCCGUGUGUGUUGUGUGUUUUGUUUGCGGCUCGUUAGUUCACCUGGUCUGAUUGCUCCCUCACUUCACCUGUUCCCUGUUAGUCGUCCUCUGUUUAUUUACGCCUUGGUUUCUCUGACUCGGUGCCAGAUCAUUGUUGUUGUUUCGUGUUCAGUCUGUAUCAGUUUCCUUGUUCCUUGAUAUUAAAUCCUGGAUAAUGGCG
Melanotaenia boesemani (Boeseman's rainbowfish) is the source of this 1991-nucleotide long non-coding RNA. RefSeq lists it as uncharacterized. NCBI's taxonomy places the organism in Eukaryota, Metazoa, Chordata, Actinopteri, Atheriniformes, Melanotaeniidae. The record is from RefSeq and is a predicted model, not a curated record. The transcript is spliced from 3 exons.